This 83-nucleotide transfer RNA is filed under the name Geosporobacter ferrireducens. It matches the Rfam family "tRNA". From Rfam's summary of the family: Transfer RNA (tRNA) molecules are approximately 80 nucleotides in length. The record is from Rfam by way of RNAcentral. Lineage: Bacteria; Bacillati; Bacillota; Clostridia; Peptostreptococcales; Thermotaleaceae.
GCCGAAGUGGUGGAAUGGCAGACGCACCGGACUCAAAAUCCGGCGGUAGCAAUACCGUGAGGGUUCAAGUCCCUCCUUCGGCA